This 612-nucleotide ribosomal RNA is filed under the name Sphingomonas sp. JMT1928. Its description in RNAcentral is "bacterial SSU rRNA". It matches the Rfam family "Bacterial small subunit ribosomal RNA", at positions 62 to 719 of the family's 1533-position model. Lineage: Bacteria; Pseudomonadati; Pseudomonadota; Alphaproteobacteria; Sphingomonadales; Sphingomonadaceae. The record is from RNAcentral.
UCGAACGAGACCUUCGGGUCUAGUGGCGCACGGGUGCGUAACGCGUGGGAAUCUGCCCUUGGGUUCGGAACAACAGUUGGAAACGACUGCUAAUACCGGAUGAUGACUUGGGUCCAAAGAUUUAUCGCCCACGGAUGAGCCCGCGUAGGAUUAGCUUGUUGGUGAGGUAAAAGCUCACCAAGGCGACGAUCCUUAGCUGGUCUGAGAGGAUGAUCAGCCACACUGGGACUGAGACACGGGCCAGACUCCUACGGGAGGCAGCAGUGGGGAAUAUUGGACAAUGGGCGAAAGCCUGAUCCAGCAAUGCCGCGUGAGUGAUGAAGGCCUUAGGGUUGUAAAGCUCUUUUACCCGGGAUGAUAAUGACAGUACCGGGAGAAUAAGCCCCGGCUAACUCCGUGCCAGCAGCCGCGGUAAUACGGAGGGGGCUAGCGUUGUUCGGAAUUACUGGGCGUAAAGCGCACGUAGGCGGCUUUGUAAGUUAGAGGUGAAAGCCCGGAGCUCAACUCCGGAAUUGCCUUUAAGACUGCAUCGCUUGAAUCAUGGAGAGGUGAGUGGAAUUCCGAGUGUAGAGGUGAAAUUCGUAGAUAUUCGGAAGAACACCAAUUGGCGAA